CGAAGGGUGCAAGCGUUACUCGGAAUUACUGGGCGUAAAGCGUGCGUAGGUGGUUUGUUAAGUCUGAUGUGAAAGCCCUGGGCUCAACCUGGGAAUUGCAUUGGAUACUGGCAGGCUAGAGUGCGGUAGAGGAUGGCGGAAUUCCCGGUGUAGCAGUGAAAUGCGUAGAGAUCGGGAGGAACAUCUGUGGCGAAGGCGACUCUUUGGCCUGUAACUGACGCUGAGGCGCGAAAGCGUGGGGAGCAAACAGG
This 251-nucleotide ribosomal RNA is filed under the name uncultured bacterium. Its description in RNAcentral is "partial 16S ribosomal RNA". It matches the Rfam family "Bacterial small subunit ribosomal RNA", at positions 526 to 776 of the family's 1533-position model. The record is from RNAcentral.